This is a long non-coding RNA of Arabidopsis thaliana (thale cress), 240 nucleotides long. RefSeq annotates it as other RNA. The transcript has a single exon. The record is from RefSeq. NCBI's taxonomy places the organism in Eukaryota, Viridiplantae, Streptophyta, Magnoliopsida, Brassicales, Brassicaceae.
AAGACUAAAACCCUCCAAGCAAAGGAAUGUAGAAGUGAUCUGUACUUAUAAAGAGCAACCUAACAUAGUAGUGCAUUGAUUCCUAAAAAUCUCUUUAAGUUGAUCGAGCAGCUCAUUUGCUGCCUCAUAACUUGUCACCUUUCCUAGAGGGCUUACGAGGCGGCGAUACACGGGGAAGAUGAAAAACUUUUUUCAUCCAUCUCCUCGAGAAGCAACAGGGUCUCUCCACUCUAUUUGUUU